UACGGAGGAUGCGAGCGUUAUCCGGAUUUAUUGGGUUUAAAGGGUGCGUAGGCGGACUGUCAAAUCAGCGGUAAAAUUGAGAGGCUCAACCUCUUCCCGCCGUUGAAACUGGUGGUCUUGAGUGGAUGAGAAGUACGCGGAAUGCGUGGUGUAGCGGUGAAAUGCAUAGAUAUCACGCAGAACUCCGAUUGCGAAGGCAGCGUACCGGCAUCCAACUGACGCUGAGGCACGAAAGCGUGGGGAUCAAACAGG
RNAcentral lists this ribosomal RNA (252 nucleotides) under uncultured bacterium. Its description in RNAcentral is "partial 16S ribosomal RNA". It matches the Rfam family "Bacterial small subunit ribosomal RNA", at positions 524 to 776 of the family's 1533-position model. The record is from RNAcentral.